AUGUUGGCUUGGGCAUUUACUUGUAUUCCAGUUUCUAUCCAAAUCUAGUGUGAUAACACUUUUACUCAAAAUUAACCAUUUAGCGAAUAAGCAUGUCAGGUAUUUUGCUACAGUAUGGUGGAUGCGUUCAAAUGAAGUCACUUUAUAAAUGUGAAACUUCCAUUUUCUUUUCUAAGAACAACACUGUAUCUAUUUGCAUUUAUACUCAGUUUAUACCAACAACUAAUUCUUUUUUUUCCUUAAAAACGUGAAAGGGAGAGAGCUUCCAAUGCACUGUGGCCAGCAGUGAGCACUUGCAGGAGGAAACUUCAUCCCAACUGCCACGUGCUUCUGGAAAAAAGUCCUUAUGAGGAGAGCAGGAGUGAAGUCUGUGGGAUAUACAAACAUAGCUGAAAAACCCCUGAAAUACUGAGGGUACUAAACAAUAAGCUGAAUAGUCAAACCCCAUGCCACAGCAUACUGCAAAGCAGCUCAAUACUGUUUCUACAACUUACCCAUUUGGCUAGAGCUUCUCUGAUAGUUGUUGCUUUCGCCUAAAAGAUGAAAAAGAAAACGUAAAUGAAUA
Long non-coding RNA from Neopsephotus bourkii (Bourke's parrot), 565 nucleotides. RefSeq lists it as uncharacterized. The transcript is spliced from 2 exons. Lineage: Eukaryota; Metazoa; Chordata; Aves; Psittaciformes; Psittacidae. The record is from RefSeq and is a predicted model, not a curated record.